AUGGCAUAAGCUAGCUUGACUGCGAGCGUGACGGCGCGAGCAGGUGCGAAAGCAGGUCAUAGUGAUCCGGUGGUUCUGAAUGGAAGGGCCAUCGCUCAACGGAUAAAAGGUACUCCGGGGAUAACAGGCUGAUACCGCCCAAGAGUUCAUAUCGACGGCGGUGUUUGGCACCUCGAUGUCGGCUCAUCACAUCCUGGGGCUGAAGUAGGUCCCAAGGGUAUGGCUGUUCGCCAUUUAAAGUGGUACGCGAGCUGGGUUUAGAACGUCGUGAGACAGUUCGGUCCCUAUCUGCCGUGGGCGCUGGAGAAUUGAGGGGGGCUGCUCCUAGUACGAGAGGACCGGAGUGGACGCAUCACUGGUGUUCGGGUUGUCAUGCCAAUGGCACUGCCCGGUAGCUAAAUGCGGAAGAGAUAAGUGCUGAAAGCAUCUAAGCACGAAACUUGCCCCGAGAUGAGUUCUCCCUGAGACUNAAUGAAUUGACGGGGGCCCGCACAAGCGGUGGAGCAUGUGGUUUAAUUCGAUGCAACGCGAAGAACCUUACCUGGUCUUGACAUCCACAGAACUUUGCAGAGAUGGUUUGGUGCCUUCGGGAACUGUGAGACAGGUGCUGCAUGGCUGUCGUCAGCUCGUGUUGUGAAAUGUUGGGUUAAGUCCCGCAACGAGCGCAACCCUUAUCCUUUGUUGCCAGCGGUUCGGCCGGGAACUCAAAGGAGACUGCCAGUGAUAAACUGGAGGAAGGUGGGGAUGACGUCAAGUCAUCAUGGCCCUUACGACCAGGGCUACACACGUGCUACAAUGGCAUAUACAAAGAGAAGCGACCUCGCGAGAGCAAGCGGACCUCAUAAAGUAUGUCGUAGUCCGGAUUGGAGUCUGCAACUCGACUCCAUGAAGUCGGAAUCGCUAGUAAUCGUAGAUCAGAAUGCUACGGUGAAUACGUUCCCGGGCCUUGUACACACCGCCCGUCACACCAUGGGAGUGGGUUGCAAAAGAAGUAGGUAGCUUAACCUUCGGGAGGGCGCUUACCACUUUGUGAUUCAUGACUGGGGUGAAGUCGUAACAAGGUAACCGUAGGGGAACCUGCGGUUG
Molecule: ribosomal RNA, 1086 nt
Filed under: Klebsiella pneumoniae
Lineage: Bacteria; Pseudomonadati; Pseudomonadota; Gammaproteobacteria; Enterobacterales; Enterobacteriaceae
Description: bacterial SSU rRNA
Rfam family: Bacterial small subunit ribosomal RNA (bases 450-1086)
Source: RNAcentral